UUAGCAUUAGGGUUGUAGUUGACUCCACUGAUGGUGUCAGUAUGCUGGUCUAGAGGGUUAGAGGUCAGGGGUUACCUGUUAGCAUUAGGGUUGUAGUUGACUCCACUGAUGGUGUCAGUAUGCUGAUCUAGAGGGUUAGAGGUCAGGGGUUACCUGUUAGCAUUAGGGUUGUAGUUGACUCCACUGAUGGUGUCAGUAUGCUGGUCUAGAGGGUUAGAGGUCAGGGGUUACCUGUUAGCAUUAGGGUUGUAGUUGACUCCACUGAUGGUGUCAGUAUGCUGGUCUAGAGGGUUAGAGGUCAGGGGUUACCUGUUAGCAUUAGGGUUGUAGUUGACUCCACUGAUGGUGUCAGUAUGCUGGUCUAGAGGGUUAGAGGUCAGGGGUUACCUGUUAGCAUUAGGGUUGUAGUUGACUCCACUGAUGGUGUCAGUAUGCUGGU
This is a long non-coding RNA of Oncorhynchus keta (chum salmon), 439 nucleotides long. RefSeq lists it as uncharacterized. The record is from RefSeq and is a predicted model, not a curated record. Lineage: Eukaryota; Metazoa; Chordata; Actinopteri; Salmoniformes; Salmonidae. The transcript has 3 exons.